CCUACGGGAGACAGCAGUGGGGAAUAUUGCACAAUGGGGGAAACUCUGAUGCAGCAACGCCGCGUGAGUGAAGAAGUAUUUCGGUAUGUAAAGCUCUAUUAGCAGGGAAGAAGAUGACGGUACCUGAGUCAGAAGCCCCGGCUAACUACGUGCCAGCAGCCGAGGUAAUACGUAGGGGGCAAGCGUUAUCCGGAUUUACUGGGUGUAAAGGGAGCGUAGACGGCUGCGCAAGUCUGAAGUGAAAGCCCGGGGCUCAACCCCGGGACUGCUUUGGAAACUGUGUAGCUAGAGUGCAGGAGAGGCAAGCGGAAUUCCUAGUGUAGCGGUGAAAUGCGUAGAUAUUAGGAAGAACACCAGUGGCGAAGGCGGCUUGCUGGACAGUAACUGACGUUGAGGCUCGAAAGCGUGGGGAGCAAACAGGAUUAGAUACCCGUGUAGUC
Molecule: ribosomal RNA, 440 nt
Filed under: uncultured bacterium
Lineage: Bacteria
Description: partial 16S ribosomal RNA
Rfam family: Bacterial small subunit ribosomal RNA
Source: RNAcentral